CAAACCACAUAACCAACUGUGCCAAGAUAAUCCUGAGCUCACUAUUGUCAG
This 51-nucleotide non-coding RNA is filed under the name Pan troglodytes (chimpanzee). Lineage: Eukaryota; Metazoa; Chordata; Mammalia; Primates; Hominidae. The record is from RNAcentral.